CGUUGGGUUAUUUUUAGUUAGAACCCAACUGUUGGGUUAAACAUGGUUCCCGCUUCACUCCGGUUCAAAUUUUAACGGUCCAGUCAGCGGCUCAGUGGACAUCAGCGGCAGCCUGCCUUAUUAUGAAAGAUAAAUGGAUUUUUUUGUAAAGAAAAGAUUACAACAGCGGAGCCUCUGCAAUUUAAUAGAAACAUUUCAAGGUUGGUACUAAUAUGGUGCACUACCUCAACAAUGAGACAAGCCAGGAUCCACAUGUCUUGGUGCUUGGAGACAAAUGAAAUUCCUCCCAAGUUUUCAUCAUUUUCAUUGGAGAGGCAGUUGAAAAGGAGACCUUACUUCAAGCAGUGAAUGAAUGCUUCAAAACGUUCUACAUCUAUGACGUAAACUACCCAAAGCCCUCUGCUCCAAUUUGGGGAGUUCUUGCAGCAUGCAGUCUAUAAUAUUCCUGGAGGAGUUCCUUCUACACAUUGCUGCCUCCUAAAAAACUUUGUAUUCAAAGUUACUGAUCAUCAGUUGAUCCAGUAGCCAAAACACACGUUUAAGGGUUAGUUCACCCACAAAUGAAAAUUCUGUCAUUAAUCACCCUCAUGUUGUUCCAAACCCGCAAGACCUACGUUCAUCUUUGGAACACAAAUUAAGAUAUUGUUGAUGCAUUCUGACAGCUCUCUGACCCUCCUAUAGACAGCAAGGGUCCUUACACCAUCAUUGUCCAGAAACUUAGCAAGGAGAUUGGUAAAAUAAUCCAUGUGACAUCAGGGGUUUAACUUUAACAGCAUACGCUGUUUGCGUUGAGUGGAUACUGUCUAAAAUGGCACUAGGGUGACACGGAGGAGACAAAUUGUUGAAUAAACUCAUUAUUUUUUUUUCUUUUGCCCACAAAAAGUGUUCUCGUAUAAUAUUACGGUUGAACCCCUGAUGUCACAUGGAUUAUUUUACCAAUC
This is a long non-coding RNA of Cyprinus carpio (common carp), 941 nucleotides long. RefSeq lists it as uncharacterized. The transcript is spliced from 3 exons. The record is from RefSeq and is a predicted model, not a curated record. NCBI's taxonomy places the organism in Eukaryota, Metazoa, Chordata, Actinopteri, Cypriniformes, Cyprinidae.